GAGACAGCAGCCGCCACGGUAAUACGUAGGUGGCAAGCGUUGUCCGGAAUUAUUGGGCGUAAAGGGCUCGCAGGCGGUUUCUUAAGUCUGAUGUGAAAGCCCCUGGCUCAACCGGGGAGGGUCAUUGGAAACUGGGAAACUUGAGUGCAGAAGAGGAGAGUGGAAUUCCACGUGUAGCGGUGAAAUGCGUAGAGAUGUGGAGGAACACCAGUGGCGAAGGCGACUCUCUGGUCUGUAACUGACGCUGAGGAGCGAAAGCGUGGGGAGCGAACAGGAUUAGAUACCCCGGUAGUCCCUGUCUCUUAUAC
RNAcentral lists this ribosomal RNA (308 nucleotides) under uncultured bacterium. RNAcentral describes it as "partial 16S ribosomal RNA". It matches the Rfam family "Bacterial small subunit ribosomal RNA", at positions 505 to 807 of the family's 1533-position model. The record is from RNAcentral.